RNAcentral lists this long non-coding RNA (1176 nucleotides) under Marmota monax (woodchuck). Lineage: Eukaryota; Metazoa; Chordata; Mammalia; Rodentia; Sciuridae. The record is from RNAcentral.
UAAAACAUAACAAAGCCAAGAGGAAAGGAUUCUUCCAGGCAAAGGAAACUUAAUGGAGACAAGUCUUAUCCUUGAAGCAAAAUUUGUGUAAUUUCUAUCUCAAUUAUAGUAACUUUGCUUCUAGAUCAGCUUUAGGUAGCAUUGAAUGAUCCACUCUGUCAUCCAAUUUCAAACUGACCCUGGUUCCCUGUAGGGGUCUGAUGGGUUGUACAGUGGCAGUUACCAUCUUAUUUGGUGCUUUUCAGUAUCCCCUUGGAGAUCAGGGGAGUUUCAGUAACAUUUUCUGUUCUUCUCAUCUUUAUGCCCCUGACUUGGAAUGUAAAUUAGAUUUGCUCUUUCAACCUUAUGAAUUUGCAGCUGUGGACAAAAAGCUUCUUCAAGCCAUGUGCCUGAAGUAUAGGAGAAAAUUCAAAGUGAGGUACAUUUUCUCUUUUGUGCCAAUUAGGCUUAAAAAGGAAAUGAGAAGCUUUCUCCUAAGCUUGAAGUCAGAUAUUGAGUAAUUUUGGGUCUUUUUGAAAAUGAUAUCUAUAUGUAUAUUUGGCUUUUCAGCUUUUCAAAGAAUUUCCACAUAAAUUGUUUUGUUUUCUCCUUACUCCAUUUCUGUGAGGUGAGUUGAAGUUAUUAUUAGCCAUAGAUGAAGAUUGCUUAAAACACAGGAAUCACAAUGCAGAUUAGUGGCAGGGCUGAAACUGGAAUUUAAGACUUGUGAAUACAAGUCUAGUUGGAAAGGGUGAGUAUCUCUGUCCCCACUUGGGCCAGGUCAAAGGGACCACUGUGGGAGGGGGCACUUGUCUUCCCUUUGACAGCUUGUGAUGCAUUAACAGGUCAAUUAUAAGAAAAAUGAGAGUCAAGCUGGAUUUAUUCUAGACCAUGAGUAUGAGAUAUUCUUCUGAGGAAAUAAAACUUAAUUUCUGUCAUUUUGUAACCCAUUAAUAGUGAUUUAGGUAAUAGACCUGCUGUUUUUAUCCUCACUUCUGCAAGCAAAAAAUAAUUUCCCCUCCUUUAUUACAUUUGACCUUUACCUAUGAACUAAGUUGCCUAACACCAAUCAAUAUAAAACGAUAUUGCUUGUUAAAAUAAGGUUAUAUUGUGUUCUGAAACUAAUAAAUAUACAAUAUUAUUUAUCAAUGACUUAAACAUCUAUAUUUAAAUUUUUGUUUUAUAGCAAUCUACCAG